Long non-coding RNA from Musa acuminata AAA Group (dessert banana), 452 nucleotides. RefSeq lists it as uncharacterized. The transcript has 2 exons. The record is from RefSeq and is a predicted model, not a curated record. Lineage: Eukaryota; Viridiplantae; Streptophyta; Magnoliopsida; Zingiberales; Musaceae.
UUGGAAUCCGGGUUUCUUUUGCUGCGACGACGGAGGAGGGCGAGCGAGAGGUGGUGUGUCGAUCGCUUCUCCUCCCGGAUUCCUUCGCAAUCCAGAUUUCGGCCGUCACGUUGGACGAGGAGCACUAAGGCCGAUGCGGGAGCCACAAAGACCUACCCGCAGCAGGCUGGGACGAUCCGAAAGAUGGGAUACAUAGUGACCAAGGAGGAUGGCCAUGCGAGGUUUGUGUUCUCUGAUCACAUUGAUCGAAGGAUGUUGUUGAAUGUAAUUUUUCAUGAGCUUCGUGGAUUCUUCUUUUGUUCUCAUUUAUGUGUUGUUUUAAUUCAUCAAUUCAUAGAUUAUUACGGAUUCUUCACUUUCGUCAAUAAAUUUUUCCUCUAGUUGUAACUGUUCGCAGUUGCCUGUGGAUACAUGAUUUAACUUGUUGUAAUCAAAUACCUCUGGUUGCUGAC